Anguilla rostrata (American eel) is the source of this 1021-nucleotide long non-coding RNA. RefSeq lists it as uncharacterized. The transcript is spliced from 4 exons. NCBI's taxonomy places the organism in Eukaryota, Metazoa, Chordata, Actinopteri, Anguilliformes, Anguillidae. The record is from RefSeq and is a predicted model, not a curated record.
ACGGUCGCUAGCUCCCAACAAGCGCACGUUGCUUCCCCAUAACACCAUGUGGAAAACAAAGCAUUUCCGGGUUAGCUCAUAGCUAAAUUGGCUACACGUUACCUUUACCUCUAAUAUCAUUAAAACGUUGCCAGCUUGCAGCUGAAACUAGCUAGGUCACCCUAGUUGACUUGACUGUGCUGCGCCUUGGCACCAGCCUGAGAUGGUGGGACUGCUAGAGAGGAUGUUCUUCAAGGAGGCCACAUUCAUGGACAUGAGAGGCCUCUCAAAGGGAUAGCAUAGAAUGAAAGAAAUCUCCCGGUGAGGGAUUUACUCUUUUUCAAAGCACGGAGGGCUUGGACAUGAAUGCCCUAUACAGUAUGACUUAUUUCAAUGGAAUGGCAUUUCCAAAAUGUCAAGAUUGUUUGGGAUUAGCAUCUGUUCUCACAUCAAAGACGCUGCAUAAUGAAUGGAGAGAAGUUGCAAUGGGACACAAAAAAGACCGUUUCAUUAAAAUGUGUCAUCUUACUGUCAACACCGGCCAUUUGACUUGAGGUAACUAUUGAAAAUUGCUCCUUUUAAAAAGCAUAUUCUGAAAAUAUGUGCCGUGCUUUUUUUUUUUUUACAGUCUCUUUACAUACUGCAGUCUGCUCAUUAGGAAACAUUCACAAAUGGGCAUUAUCAUUAUUGUAGAUUUAAGGAGCUUGAGAUAUUUUCUAUGAUUAUUUGAAACAUGACAGUCUAUACUGAUAUAAUGUUCAGUGACGACAAAACAAAGGAGAGCUCAUGGAUGGUUAAUCUCACAGCAAUCCCACAAGUACUACAGAGCUCAUAGUGUGAAAAGACUUAGACUGUCAGUCAGUUUAGUUCUUUACUGUCUCUUAAAACAUGGCCCUUGUAGUGUUACUGUUGAUUAGGUUUUUGUUUGAAAGUGGAAGAGGUAACUCCUACAAAGUCCUCUGUUCUCACUGACUGACUAACAGACUGUGUGAAUGGGUGUGAAGCUCUUGCAAUACCAGUAUUGUACCACUAGAGGAUGAAC